RNAcentral lists this transfer RNA (68 nucleotides) under Hirtodrosophila subflavohalterata. RNAcentral's name for it is "tRNA-Asn". The record is from RNAcentral. Lineage: Eukaryota; Metazoa; Arthropoda; Insecta; Diptera; Drosophilidae.
UUAAUUGAAGCCAAAAAGAGGCUUAUCACUGUUAAUGAUAUUACUGAGAUUCCAAAACUCCAAUUAAG